GACGAACGCUGGCGGCGUGCUUAACACAUGCAAGUCGAACGGAAAGGCCCUGCUUUUGUGGGGUGCUCGAGUGGCGAACGGGUGAGUAACACGUGAGUAACCUGCCCUUGACUUUGGGAUAACUUCAGGAAACUGGGGCUAAUACCGGAUAGGAGCUCCUGCUGCAUGGUGGGGGUUGGAAGGUUUCGGCGGUUGGGGAUGGACUCGCGGCUUAUCAGCUUGUUGGUGGGGUAGUGACUUACCAAGGCUUUGACGGGUAGCCGGCCUGAGAGGGUGACCGGCCACAUUGGGACUGAGAUACGGCCCAGACUCCUACGGGAGGCAGCAGUGGGGAAUAUUGCACAAUGGGCGGAAGCCUGAUGCAGCAACGCCGCGUGCGGGAUGACGGCCUUCGGGUUGUAAACCGCUUUCGCCUGUGACGAAGCGUGAGUGACGGUAAUGGGUAAAGAAGCACCGGCUAACUACGUG
RNAcentral lists this ribosomal RNA (468 nucleotides) under uncultured bacterium. RNAcentral describes it as "partial 16S ribosomal RNA". It matches the Rfam family "Bacterial small subunit ribosomal RNA", at positions 28 to 507 of the family's 1533-position model. The record is from RNAcentral.